UACGAAGGGGGCGAGCGUUGUUCGGAUUUACUGGGCGUAAAGGGCGCGCAGGCGGCUUAUUUUGUCAGGCGUGAAAGCCCCGGGCUUAACCUGGGAACUGCGUUUGAUACGGAUGGGCUAGAGUUCGGGAGAGGAGAGUGGAAUUCCCAGUGUAGAGGUGAAAUUCGUAGAUAUUGGGAAGAACACCGGUGGCGAAGGCGGCUCUCUGGACCGAGACUGACGCUGAGGCGCGAAAGCGUGGGGAGCAACAGGAUU
This 255-nucleotide ribosomal RNA is filed under the name uncultured bacterium. Its description in RNAcentral is "partial 16S ribosomal RNA". It matches the Rfam family "Bacterial small subunit ribosomal RNA", at positions 524 to 779 of the family's 1533-position model. The record is from RNAcentral.